AUGUCAGAAAUAGAACAAAAGGGAGGGGAAGGAAGAAGGAGAGGAGGGCAUGGCGGCGCGUUGGUUUCGUUCUUGCAAAAAAGGCCUUGUAGUUUGGGGUAUUCAACCCUCGGUACGAGCAAAUUCGUAAAGAAAAAAAAACAGGACCACACACGGCGCACGAAUUCGCCUCCUCUCCUCUCGCCCAUGCCUCGCCGCCGCCACCACCCACGGCGCACGCUUCCGGCGAGCUCCGGCGCUGCGCAGAACGGCCCCCGAGCUCCCCACGGUCCGCGCCUCCCUCCCCUCCGGCUAGAUUCUCUGUUCCCAGCCUCUACCACCCGCUCGCAACCCCACCUCCGUGGCUAG
RNAcentral lists this ribosomal RNA (348 nucleotides) under Triticum aestivum (bread wheat). Its description in RNAcentral is "partial small subunit ribosomal RNA". Lineage: Eukaryota; Viridiplantae; Streptophyta; Magnoliopsida; Poales; Poaceae. The record is from RNAcentral.